UACAUAGAUUAUUUUAUUCAUUUAUAUACACGGCGUGAAGUAGGGGAUUACAACCAUUUUUAAACGGAAAGUGAAUCAAUUAACAUAAUAGACUCCU
This 97-nucleotide microRNA precursor is filed under the name Nicotiana sylvestris (wood tobacco). Its description in RNAcentral is "MIR6152 microRNA precursor family". It matches the Rfam family "MIR6152 microRNA precursor family". The record is from Rfam by way of RNAcentral. Lineage: Eukaryota; Viridiplantae; Streptophyta; Magnoliopsida; Solanales; Solanaceae.